CGUUAUGACAUUUGUGAAUGAACCCAUUGUAUAGUAAUUAUAAAAAUAAGCGUAAAAAAACAAACGUCAAAAGCAUGGUUUGGAAUUGCUGAUUUGUUCCAGUGCAUUUACUAGCACUGACAGCCGACAUAACACUUUCAAUGGAUUGACAGAUGUGCUGAAUAAUCGACAAAGUAGGCGAAGCUUCAGGCUAGCUCAGCUUUGUUGGCUUGGUUGGCCUUCUUGUGGCGGAUUUGGAGACGAACGGACGUGUUCGUGUCGCGCUCUGUGCUGGUGGAGCAGAUUCGAUCAUAAACAUAUCUUCACCGUAAAUCGUGUUCGUCAUGGAAUCCCUCAACCAGCAAAUGUCGUUGAAACAAGAUCUUCACAAGGAAUACACCAUUAUUCUGUUUGGUGAAACCGGCUCAGGCAAAUCAACUUUGAUAAACUAUCUGACGAAUUAUUUCCAUAACGGUACACUCGAGAAUUUGAAAAUUGCCAUUCCUACGAAGCAUUAUGAGGCAACCGAGGGUCUACAGCACCACGAAGACAAUGUUCAGGAUUCUUCAAAAAGUCAAACUAGAGCCUGUACUGUAUAUAAUUUCAAAAAAGAGGACACAAUGUUCAACUUUAUAGACACCCCAGGGCUCAGUGAUACCAGAGGGGCGGAUCAGGAUGACUUCAAUAUACAACAAAUUAUGGAAGCUGCGGAGCAGAGUGGAGUGUUGACUGCUAUUAUCCUCGUUAUAAAUGGAACGCAGGCCCGAGCCACAGUAACACUACGCAACACGUUGUGUCUGUUGAGAAGCUCAAUCCCAGAUGUCUUUCAGCAGAAUCUCGUUGUUGUUCUAACAAAUUGCUCUGUUGCUACCGUCAACUUCGAUCUGGAGCAUUUGAAACCUUGGACUGUUCCUGAGGCGAAUGUUUUCCACAUGAACAACUGUGCCCUCAGUAAACCAGUAUCACAAUGGAUAAACGACAAUCGUGCGAAGGAAAAUAUGGAAUAUGAAUGGCAAUGCUCAAUGAAAACUAUCGAAGAAUUGAACCAGCACUUAACGAAGCUUGGUGGCAAAGCGACCGAGGCUUUUAAACAAAUGCGGAUUAACAAAAACUUAAUAAAAUCGCAGCUACAUGGAAUUUUAUUGGAGGUGAAGAAAAUCCAAGAUCUUCAAAACGAACUAGAUUUUAUGAAAACCACACAGCAAAAUGUAUCCGCCGACAUUAAAAAAUAUACCGAAUUCAAGCAAAGAAAGCAAGUAGAGUAUACGGUAUUGGAACGAUGUAAAAAAGAAGUCAGUAAGUUCUGUAUUAAAUGCUUGAAGCCAUGCCAAGCCCUGUCCUCAUCGCACAGAUCGAUACCAAUUUAUAGAGACAUAUCCAACCUUGUAGAAUAUAUCUUUAUGUCCAAAUGUCACUGCAACCAUACACCGUUCAAUCAUUACGAUAGCAAAGUUAAAUUAGUCACGAAAACAGCUACCGUCGAAGAAAUUAUUCAAGAUGUGAAAAACAGCUAUGAUGAUAGCAUGAGCAAAAACAAGGUAAUACAGUCUAAAAUUGACAGCCUGGACACCGACAUCGCUGCACUGGGACAUGCUCUCGAUAGAAAACAAGUCGAAAUACGGAAAUGUUACCAAGAGCUCAAGAAGCUCUGCUCGCUGAAUAACUAUGCGCACGAGCUCAAGAGCUUCAUUGCUGUUAUGGAGAGAGAUGCCCGUACGCUUACUUCCACCGUGGCAAGGACCGAUGCUGAGAGGAGAAUUAGAAACAUGAAACAGUUAUUCGAUACGCUAUCAAUGGUUGAGAAGAGUGACUAGAACGCAAAGAAUAGAAUCAAGAGAGAGAGAGAGAAAAAAACAGAAUGAUUUUUCUACUUCUGAUAGUGCAGUGUGUGUUAAAUUUUAAUGAAGAAUUUAGAAUCUUUAAGAAGCUCAAUCAUUGCUCUUUCGGCUAUAUAUUAUUACAAAAUAUCUCCUCCGCAAAUUGUUUUUGUCAUGGAAUUCCUCAAGUCGGAAACGUCGUUGAAACAAAAUAUUCAAAAGGAGAUCAACGUUAUUUUGCUAGGCGAAACUGGUUCAGGGAAAUCAACACUGAUAAACUAUUUCACAAAUUAUUUCCAUAACGGUACAUUGGAGAAUUUGAAAAUUGCCAUUCCCACGAAGCACCAUGUGGCAACCGAGGAUCUGAAGCACCACGAAGACAACGUUCAGGAUACUUCAAAAAGCAAAACUCGAGCAUGUGCUGUAUAUACUUUCAGAAAAGAGGACACGAUAUACAACUUCAUAGACACGCCAGGGCUCAGUGAUACGAAAGGGGCGGCUCAGGAUGAUUUCAACGUUCGGCAAAUUAUGGGAGCCGCUGAGCAGAGCGGAAUGUUGACAGCAAUCAUUCUCGUUAUAAAUGGAACGCAGGCCCGAGCUACUGUAACGCUGCGCAACACGUUGUGUCUAUUGAGAAGCUCAAUACCAGACGUCCUUCUGCAGAACCUCAUCGUUGUUCUAACAAACUGUUUUGCUGCUUCCGCCAACUUCGAAAUGGUGCAUUUGAAACCUUGGACUGUUCCUGAGGCGAAUGUUUUCCACAUGAACAAUUGUGCGCUCAGUAGACCACUAUCAGUAAGGGUGAAAAACAUACACAUGAAGAAAAUUUUGAAAACAGAAUGGGAAUGCUCAAUGGAAACCAUCGAAAAAUUGAUCCAGAACUUGACGCAACUUGGUGGAAAAACGACCGAAGCUUUCACACAAAUGCGCAUGAAAAGAGACAGGAUUAAAUCGCAGCUGCAUAGCAUCUUGCUGGAUGUGAAGAAAUUCCAGGUUCUUCAAAACGAACUAGAUGUUAUGAAAAUCACACAAAAGAAUAUAUCCACUGACAUUCAAAAAUAUUCCGACUACAAGCAAACAAAACAAGUUGAAAUCACGGAGUUUGAGCAAUGCGGUUAUUACAGUACAAUCUGCUCUGUAUGCUCGAAUACGUGCUGUGAUGAUGGGACAAAUGUCAGUCCUUUCCAAAUAAUUCUUGGAAUGGUCCUGAAUGAAUUUCCUCUGCUUAACAUGGUAUACAACUUCAUAAAUUUAUUUUCAUCUUCUGUUGAACCGCUUUGUAAAUGCAACCAUCCCCUCCACAAACACUACAAUGCCAACGUUCGGCCAGUCAAGAGAAUCAAAACCAUCGAAGAAAUUCUUCAAGAUGUUAAAAACGCCUAUGAUCAGAACGUGAGCAAAAACGAGGAAAUAGAGAUUAAAAUCGGUAACCUGGACAGCGACAUCGCUGCCGUAAAAGAUGCUCUCGAUGAAAAAACAGCAGAAAUUCCGAAAUGCUGCCGCGAGCUCAAGAUGCUCUGCUCGCAGUUCAACUUUGUGGACGAGCUGCAGGGAAUCUUUGACAUCAUGGAGAGAGAUGCCCGUACGCUUACCUCGAUGGUGGUAAGGGCCGAUGCCGAGAAAAGAAUUAGAAACGUUAAACACGUCGUCGAUACGCUGACAAGCGCUGAGAAGAGUGGCUAGAACGCAAAAGAUUUUACGGGUGGCGAAACAAUCGCAUUGGUCCAAUAAAUGUUAAUGCGGUUGGAGAUUAUUUCUUAAUUACAAUUUUUUACUUAUUAUGGUUGUCUGGUAUGCAUAAAAUAUUAUGAAAAACUUGUAUCUAGAAGGUACAUAUUGUUGUUAAUUGACAGAUUGAGAAACGUAUCUUGUUUACCGUCCACCCCCGUUGGUUUGAACUACACCUCAGGUAUCAGGUAUCAGAAGGCCGGCUCCAGAGGCACGUUAUCCUCCAUUUGGGACAUUUGUGCCAUCGCCAAAAUAACAGCCUAUUUCAUCAUCUACCUGAGGGAAAAGGAAGGAAUAAGGAUUUGGAUGGGGAUAGGGACAGGUAGGGAAAUAGGAAAAAUACCCUGGAAGAGGGUACUAACGCACAAGCGUACCACAAUGGGUUCAAACAGCGCCCUUAAAAGAGCACUGUAAUAACGCAUAAAGCGAAAGAGAGCCUAUAGCUCUUUACCACAGCGGGUUAAGAACAACAGAAUAUCCUGAAGAUUCAGGUUUCUGAAGUCAGUUUCACUUAAUAAGUGUUUACCGAAUACUCGGAAACGCAGUUGCGCGAAAACUGGACAGUUACAUAUCAAAUGAUACGAAGUUCCAUAAUCGGAUUCACAGCUAUCACAGGCAAAUGAAUCAGCUUGUUGAAUAUUCGCCAUGUGAUAGCUGAGUCGGCAGUGGCCAGACAGAGCUUUGACCAGCAUGCUGCAAUUCUGCUUAGACAGAUUAGUUAGAUACUUCGCCACCCUUGGAGAUGGCUCAGCACUAUACAAUUUGGUUUGACGACAUGACUCCAAACUAUUCCAAUAUUGUCUGUGUUGUGUGACAGCCCAGGUGUGAAUCUGAAGCUUAAUCCAACACUUCGAUAUCGGAAUAGCUGGCUCAGGGCCAAUGAAGUCAUGUGAUGCUCCUGUUACCGUUGAGAAACGCUAACUUUGUUUAUUACGUUGUUUUUGAGAAUAAAUUUGUAAAUUGUUUAGUAUUUGUUAGUAGAAUUUAGAUAAAAUUGUUAUUUUGUUAUUUGUUAUAAGUUAGUAAAUUGUUAGAGAUAAAUAAUAAAAAUUUGUUAACACACAUGCACCCAACACUGAACAGAUCUAAGACAACACAUACACAAAAUGAGCCAAAAAGGGGAGAAGUGGACGCCAUGACACAUCCACGUCAGAAAGAGAAAGAAAAAGGGAAAUUGGGAAAAGGCAAAGGGGACAGGCUACUGGGUCGAAGA
RNA transcript from Aedes albopictus (Asian tiger mosquito), 4737 nucleotides. RefSeq lists it as uncharacterized. The record is from RefSeq and is a predicted model, not a curated record. NCBI's taxonomy places the organism in Eukaryota, Metazoa, Arthropoda, Insecta, Diptera, Culicidae. The transcript has 3 exons.